RNAcentral lists this unclassified non-coding RNA (341 nucleotides) under soil metagenome. RNAcentral describes it as "partial contains 5.8S ribosomal RNA, internal transcribed spacer 2, and large subunit ribosomal RNA". The stretch from base 1 to 120 matches the Rfam family "5.8S ribosomal RNA", at positions 35 to 154 of the family's 154-position model. The record is from RNAcentral.
GAUGAAGAACGUAGCGAAAUGCGAUAAGUAGUGUGAAUUGCAGAAUUCAGUGAAUCAUCGAAUCUUUGAACGCACAUUGCGCCCUUUGGUAUUCCAAAGGGCAUGCCUGUUCGAGCGUCAUUUGUACCCUCAAGCUUUGCUUGGUGUUGGGCGUCUUGUGUCUAGCUUUGCUGGAGACUCGCCUUAAAGUAAUUGGCAGCCGGCCUACUGGUUUCGGAGCGCAGCACAAGUCGCACUCUCUAUCAGCAAAGGUCUAGCAUCCAUUAAGCCUUUUUUUCAACUUUUGACCUCGGAUCAGGUAGGGAUACCCGCUGAACUUAAGCAUAUCAAUAAGCGGAGGA